RNAcentral lists this microRNA precursor (62 nucleotides) under Canis lupus familiaris (dog). Its description in RNAcentral is "Cfa-Mir-362-P3a-v1_pre stem-loop". It matches the Rfam family "mir-500 microRNA precursor family", at positions 18 to 79 of the family's 84-position model. The record is from RNAcentral. RNAcentral also lists the same sequence under 1 other name. Lineage: Eukaryota; Metazoa; Chordata; Mammalia; Carnivora; Canidae.
UAAUCCUUGCUACCUGGGUGAGAGUGCUUUCUGAAUGCAAUGCACCUGGGCAAGGAUUCUGA